AUGGAGAAUCUGCAACUGAUGUGGUCAGACUCUGCCAAAACUCUUGACCAUGACUACACUGAGACAGCUCACAAGCUCGAAGUUAAGCGUGUGCUCAAAUGUUCCAGUGGAUCACUUCCAAAGUCCUCUUGUCAGAAUCAAGUAAAGGUCACCACAAGGGGUACAUGACUCCUGUGUAUUUGUAUUUCAUGAAAAACUCAAUUUC
Molecule: long non-coding RNA, 205 nt
Filed under: Dromaius novaehollandiae (emu)
Lineage: Eukaryota; Metazoa; Chordata; Aves; Casuariiformes; Dromaiidae
Description: lncRNA (ENSDNVG00000001065.1)
Source: RNAcentral